CCUGGCCCCGCCCCCUGUCCUGCGGGGAGAGGAGAGGCCGGAUCGGACGAGCGGGGCCACUCGCGUUAACCCCUUCUGCGCCGCGGGCGGUGCCUGCCUGUGCACUCCCAGGCGCUCACUCAAGGGGGCGCUUGAACGUGCGGCCACGCGGGCAGGACGCUGCUGCCAGAGCUGGAGCUACAGAAGAGCAAACGUCAAAUUGCAGGAUCACAUGGAUUGUUUAAAAAUCGCUCAGAUCCAGCGUGAGCAGGAAGGGAGCCCGGAGCGCCACAUGCUACAAAAGACAGACAGAAAAUUGCUGUUCGUUUUCAAAAGUCUCACCAGGUUUAAGCCAAUGAUGUUUCUCAGACUAGAGUCACACUUUUGACUGCUUCAAGUUGCCAGUCUUAGAGCUAGCCAGCUCCCACAUGCCAGGCUGUGCCCAAAAGUAAACCCAUCACUGAGCCCCGAUGCUGCACUCCUAUGCCACUGGAAGACAGCUAGCAACCUUCACAGCUUGGUGCGAUUACAUUGGAAAUGCAUUGCAAGAGCUGAGAAACAAUGAAUGAUCAUCACACUGCUUGCUAAGCAGGGUCUUUACCUCGUAUUCGCUUUGCCCCCAGGGGAUUUUAUUAUUUCCAGUAAAUAAAUGAGGGUAUUUGAUGAGAUGAAAUUGCUGAAAGAAUUGGAGAGAGAAAGGUCAGGCGGGAUAUUUGCUGAAUGAGAAUAAAGAAGUGCUGCUUUGCUUAGGGCUGGAACGACAACAGAGACAAGAAGCCAAGAAUCGAAAGUGAAGGGCCUUGUAAAGUGAAAAGUCUGGAAGAACAAACUCAGCAAGAAUGGAAAAAGAGCAGAAAUGGUAAGAGCAAGGAACAGGAAGACAAGGUAUUUGCAGUGCCUGCAAAGGGGAAGAAGAUAGGACUAGCUGUAAGAGACACUCUAAUCCAUUGGUUUUCAACCUGUGGUCGCAGACGCCUAGAGGUCUUCAGGCUAUGCCUAAGGGGCUCGCGAAAGAUUAUGAUGAUUAGGAGUUUACCUAACUCAUGGUGAGACGAAGCAAUUUUUGCAGCUUGAUUGCGGCAUGAAGAGUUGAUUUCAUGGGCAUAUUCCAGUGGCCCCACCCCUCACUGCUGAUUGAAUGGUAUUAUGCCUCUGCCAAUUUAAUAGCAAAUUCCACAGAAAGUAAAUUAUAUCAUGUAGCAUAUUAUUAUAAUUCUAAAUAUUUCUUUUAAAUAAAAUUACAUCUAUUAUAAAUGUAUACACAAUAUGGA
Alligator mississippiensis (American alligator) is the source of this 1250-nucleotide long non-coding RNA. RefSeq lists it as uncharacterized. The transcript is spliced from 2 exons. The record is from RefSeq and is a predicted model, not a curated record. Lineage: Eukaryota; Metazoa; Chordata; Crocodylia; Alligatoridae.